Nymphaea colorata (pocket water lily) is the source of this 1759-nucleotide long non-coding RNA. RefSeq lists it as uncharacterized. The record is from RefSeq and is a predicted model, not a curated record. Lineage: Eukaryota; Viridiplantae; Streptophyta; Magnoliopsida; Nymphaeales; Nymphaeaceae. The transcript is spliced from 8 exons.
UUGCUCGAGUUGUCAGCAUCUCCAUUUUCCUCGGCCUAUUUCAGAGAUCAGAAAUUGAAUGGUUCCUCAUUUUCAGUUUGAUCUUUAUUUGGCGUCCUUCCCUCCCAUUGGGUAAGAAUUGCUUCUCUUUCUCUGCUCUUCCAUCUGCUAAGAAACGGAUGAGAUGGCAAAAGUAAUCAAUGCACUUGCAGAAACAGCUACUUCUCAUUUGUUGGGGGCUGUAACCAUUUUGUUGGAAGAGAAGGUGAAGGUCAUUUUGAAUGCAAAAGAUGAUCUCAGGAAGCUGGAACGCUUUCAGAAGGCAAUCGAGGAGGUAGACAGCAAGCCCCUUUUCAGCAAUGACCGCGACAAAGAUCGAGAGUGAGCUCAAGGAUGCCUUUUACGAUGCCCUGGACAUUGGGCUUAGCAAAAGGGAGAAGGAUUCGGCAUUAAAUAGAAAGGUUAAAGUGCCUGUUGAUGACUGCCAAAGUGUUCCAUAUAUGAUGGUUGAUGUGCAGUAACUUUAUCCGGAUCUCCUGGUAUCAUCUUCCCAAAAUAUGUGUGGACCCAUCGGCAAUGGAUUUUUUGUAAGGUGGCAGAGAAAUGAUUGCCGAUGUAUUUCUAGAUCACUCAAACUUAUGCCAAGCCACCUUCAAGGUUUGGAGCUGGAACUGUUACAAGGGGCAUUUAUUGGGCUUGGCGCAGCAAUUGAUAAUCUCUGUAGUUAGAGCGGGCUCAUCUCUACCACAGCCCUCACCCUGUCCCGAACAUUCACAUCUACAACCCUGUUCCUUCAGAAACUGUCGAGCUCGAUGAAGAGCACUUUCUUUAUAGAGGUCGGGAAUGGAUUUGCCUGGGAUGCUUGUUCAUUUCCCCAUGGAUGGCAUGCCAUGAGCCAUAGGCUCAAGCCAUCACAUUGCUUGGUGGCCAGCAGCCUAACCAAAUGAGGCCAAUGCCUUCUGGGUGCACGAAUUUGUGCUCAGUGAGCAUGGGAUAUGAUUUGAAGGAUUUGAUAAUACCCUUGUUGAGAGCUGUGUUCUAGUAAAGUUUUGCUGCGCUUGCAAACACCGGAUGUGGACUCAUUCACCCUCAAGUCCCAAGUAUAGGAAAGUAUAAGGGUGCCCAAGUGCCAGUAGAUCUUAUUGCCUUUCAAUUAAUGAGGGGAGAAAUCGAGAGGGGAACUGAAAGGGCAUUGACGAACAAUGAAGGGUGAGUUGAAGGAGAUUCUUGCAGAUCUCGACAAUCCCAAUGGUGUGGUCUCCGAUACAGAUCAUCAUGAACGUAUCAAGAAGAGCUUACAUAAGAAUUGUGCGUAACCUCCACCACCAGGAUGAGGAGGGUGAGAAGGGUGAGAAGGAGGAAGAAGCAGUUAGAAGAAGCGACCCAAGAGGGGAAUAGAUGAUUCUAGAGAAUCUGAUGGUGUCGACCAUUUCGAAGAGGAAUAAGAAGCAGAAAAAGGCCCUCGACUCCGAUGAAUCUGAAUGCAGCAAUGACUUGGAAGAGGAGGAAGAAGAGGUGGAUGAAACAGAGGACACCAGAUUCUAACGAAUCCAAAAAAUCUGAAGACAGUGAAGAGGCGGAAGGCGGAGAACAAGAGAUUAAGGGGAAAUUGAUAAUUGGGUGUCGCCAGAGCAAGUGACUAAGGAAAAGUGCCACCAUACUCUAAAGAGGAACGACUUGAUGGUAUUUGGAGAUGACACAGAAAAACGUUUCACAGUAGAGAGACAGAUGGUUUCGUUGCAACUUUCCCUUCUAUUUUCCUAUUGGUUCUUUUGCUUGG